CUUGCUUGCUUUUCUCCUGUUCUCAUUAUCUUCUUGCUUUUGGUCUUGCGUUCUAGCCGCGGUGUUGGUUCAAGCAAGCUUUAACUGGUUUAGUUUGCAAGAGCUUUUUAACUGGUUUAGUUUCCAAGAGCUUCGAGUGAAAUUCCCGAUACAAACACCCCUCUCCUCCCGGUGUGGCCUAGUCAGCUUCUUUCCUGGCAAAUACUUGAGCAAUGUUUGGAAUAUUAUUUGACAAGCAAGGAGGAGAGAAUUAUUUUUACUGCUGUCAGCACGCGAGCAGUGGCAAAUAACUCAAGCUGUCUUCUGGAGCUGUGGCACUAGGCUUGUGGGCCGUCGUAUUUGCCCAUAACGGAGAAACUCGCGGAAUACGUUAUGUGCUGACGACCUCUGUUCUACUGCUCAAGGCCAACUCUUGACUCCUUUCCAAGUACGAUGCCACUUGGGCUUAGCGGUCCCUGCAUCAAGUGGAAUCCUGUCCGUAUCGGACAAAUUUUCAUGCACGGAAGGGCUGCCAUAGAAAACUCACCGCAGCAAGCGGAAUACUGUCGAACGUGGAAAGCAGAACGGAUUUCAUGCACAGGAAACAGUGAACGGGGCAUUCAAAUUUAUGAGAUGGUUGAUAGCAAGCUAAUUGUACUCUGACAACACUUCUUGUAUGGCAGUACGCGGCCAUAGAUGGAAACAUAUGCUUUGCAAGAUACUGUCUUCGACGGGAGGAGUACUCUCUGAGUUAUUGUCGGCUGAGCUACACUAUGGCAGAGGCUGCACAAACUUCCACAAGGUGGUCUGGAAGUGAGACAUCAUUGUAGUAAUGCUAGAGCUAUGCUAUAUUUGAAAAUGUCUUAUAUAUUUUUCUUUUGUGUAUCACUUAAUAACCACUGUAGGAGGUGCUCCAUUUACGCUGCAAGUACCAUAGGGAAAGUGUGCAAGUACCAUAGGGAAAGUGUGCUGCUCAUGAUGGGGAAAGUGUGCAAGUACCAUAGGGAAAGUGUGCUGCUCAGGAUGGGGAAAGUGUGCAAGUACCAUAGGGAAAGUGUGCUGCUCAGGAUGGGGAAAGUGUGCAAGUACCAUAGGGAAAGUGUGCUGCUCAGGAUGGGGAAAGUGUGCUAAUGGUAGGGAAAGGGUAGAAAAUGCUACUGCUGCAGGGACAUAACUAAGUAAAUUCUCCAUGUUCAGUAAACAAAUAGGCCCACCAGUGCAGAUAGACCACACUAGAGCGGAGAGACCACACUAGGGCAGAGAGACCACACUAGAGCGGAGAGACCACACUAGAGCGGAGAGACCACACUAGGGCAGAGAGACCACACUAGAGCAGAGAGACCACACUAGGGCAGAGAGACCACACUAGGGCAGAGAGACCACACUAGAGCAGAGAGACUACACUAGAGCGGAGAGACCACACUAGAGCGGAGAGACCACACUAGAGCGGAGAGACCACACUAGAGCGGAGAGACCACACUAGAGCGGAGAGACCACACUAGAGAGACCACACUAGAGCGGAGAGACCACACUAGAGCAGAGAGACCACACUAGAGCAGAGAGA
Molecule: long non-coding RNA, 1543 nt
Organism: Sycon ciliatum
Lineage: Eukaryota; Metazoa; Porifera; Calcarea; Leucosolenida; Sycettidae
Exons: 4
Source: RefSeq, a predicted model, not a curated record